RNAcentral lists this ribosomal RNA (1428 nucleotides) under Salmonella enterica subsp. enterica serovar Kentucky. RNAcentral describes it as "partial 23S ribosomal RNA". It matches the Rfam family "Bacterial large subunit ribosomal RNA", at positions 911 to 2238 of the family's 2925-position model. The record is from RNAcentral. Lineage: Bacteria; Pseudomonadati; Pseudomonadota; Gammaproteobacteria; Enterobacterales; Enterobacteriaceae.
UGUUUCGGCUAGGGGGCCAUCCCGGCUUACCAACCCGAUGCAAACUGCGAAUACCGGAGAAUGUUAUCACGGGAGACACACGGCGGGUGCUAACGUCCGUCGUGAAGAGGGAAACAACCCAGACCGCCAGCUAAGGUCCCAAAGUCAUGGUUAAGUGGGAAACGAUGUGGGAAGGCCCAGACAGCCAGGAUGUUGGCUUAGAAGCAGCCAUCAUUUAAAGAAAGCGUAAUAGCUCACUGGUCGAGUCGGCCUGCGCGGAAGAUGUAACGGGGCUAAACCAUGCACCGAAGCUGCGGCAGCGAACGUAUCACUUAAAGCGAUUCAGCGGAUUACGAUUGACGGAGCGAAGCGACGUCAAAGCGUAUACAAAGUCGAGUCGGUUUAAGGAUACGUUCGUUGGGUAGGGGAGCGUUCUGUAAGCCUGUGAAGGUGGCCUGUGAGGGUUGCUGGAGGUAUCAGAAGUGCGAAUGCUGACAUAAGUAACGAUAAAGCGGGUGAAAAGCCCGCUCGCCGGAAGACCAAGGGUUCCUGUCCAACGUUAAUCGGGGCAGGGUGAGUCGACCCCUAAGGCGAGGCCGAAAGGCGUAGUCGAUGGGAAACGGGUUAAUAUUCCCGUACUUGGUGUUACUGCGAAGGGGGGACGGAGAAGGCUAUGUUGGCCGGGCGACGGUUGUCCCGGUUUAAGCGUGUAGGUGUGUGUUCCAGGUAAAUCCGGUUCACUUUAACACUGAGGCGUGACGACGAGGCACUACGGUGCUGAAGCAACAAAUGCCCUGCUUCCAGGAAAAGCCUCUAAGCAUCAGGUAACAUCAAAUCGUACCCCAAACCGACACAGGUGGUCAGGUAGAGAAUACCAAGGCGCUUGAGAGAACUCGGGUGAAGGAACUAGGCAAAAUGGUGCCGUAACUUCGGGAGAAGGCACGCUGACACGUAGGUGAAGUGAUUUACUCAUGGAGCUGAAGUCAGUCGAAGAUACCAGCUGGCUGCAACUGUUUAUUAAAAACACAGCACUGUGCAAACACGAAAGUGGACGUAUACGGUGUGACGCCUGCCCGGUGCCGGAAGGUUAAUUGAUGGGGUCAGCGCAAGCGAAGCUCCUGAUCGAAGCCCCGGUAAACGGCGGCCGUAACUAUAACGGUCCUAAGGUAGCGAAAUUCCUUGUCGGGUAAGUUCCGACCUGCACGAAUGGCGUAAUGAUGGCCAGGCUGUCUCCACCCGAGACUCAGUGAAAUUGAACUCGCUGUGAAGAUGCAGUGUACCCGCGGCAAGACGGAAAGACCCCGUGAACCUUUACUAUAGCUUGACACUGAACAUUGAGCCUUGAUGUGUAGGAUAGGUGGGAGGCUUUGAAGUGUGGACGCCAGUCUGCAUGGAGCCGACCUUGAAAUACCACCCUUUAAUGUUUGAUGUUCUAACGUGGACCCGUAA